GGAGCUGUGCCUGAAGGUUAUAGGGCCACUUUGAUAGAGUGACUAACGAGGGUUAAAAUCCCCCCAGCUCCU
Molecule: transfer RNA, 72 nt
Filed under: Ageneiosus pardalis
Lineage: Eukaryota; Metazoa; Chordata; Actinopteri; Siluriformes; Auchenipteridae
Description: tRNA-Ile
Rfam family: tRNA
About the family: Transfer RNA (tRNA) molecules are approximately 80 nucleotides in length.
Source: RNAcentral